UACCUUAACGGCGGCCGGUGAAUCACCGCGCGGCGUCUUUGCAAGCGCGGCGGGUGGCGAACUUCCGUAUGGAGGGAUCGGUAGCCGUAUUCGGGGACCGAGGGCGUAUCGUAACUAUUCGUCACAACCUUAUAUUGUACAAAAUCUAUAAUUUUAUCAGUCUAAGUGUCUUUAAUGCCAUUAAAUUUUUUCCUGGUUUUCUGUGGGUGCCGCGAAACAGAAUCUUAAAGCUAAUUUGGUCUUCAUACAUCUGCUAGUGUCUUUGUUCAUUUUGUAUUAAUUAUAAUAUCAUCUUAUGUGCACGUUAUAUUGUAAUACACUGGGGUAACACUUAACUUCUACUUUCUAGUAAUUUCCUCUCUCUAUGAUCAUUAUGAGCACAUUGAACGAGCUUUUCCCCGCAACUGAAGAUAAGUAAGGUUGACCGCGCUAAGAUUUUGACUUCAAAACGGAAACGGGUGGAGAGGGAAAGUCAAAAAUUAUGGGUAAACAUUGGCGUCACUACCCUUGUGAUUGGUUGGUCAUGUGUGAUUUGCCAAUAGCCUUGUUUGUUGGAAGAAGGAUAUUCUUCAUAUAUGUUUAGACUAAGUUUUCGUUUGGCCCUUGAGGUAAACAGUAAAAGCGUAUAAUAACGCGAUCACUAGAAUUAACCGAAGAAACGUAAAUACAUGCACCGUAACCAUGCUUACUCACAUAAAACCCAUGGAUUUCGAUCUGACUCUGAUUGUUGCUUAUCAACCGGCGAUCUAUGUUCUCAUUUCCGUCGUAAAGAGCGGAAGCUAAGAGUUAAAGCUAAUGCGCGAGAAUCGCCGAGAUCAAAGUGAUUAGCUCGAAAAGGCAAACGAAGACGUACAUAUAUGCCAUUUACAUUGCGUGUCGAAGUUUUUGCAUAAUGAUUUUCGCACGACAGUUCCUCCGCGGAGUUGAUGACGUCGUGUAGACGUCACUUAAAAUUUAGUCAACUGAUCGGACAAGCUAGCAAGCACUCGGUAACUUUUUCUCUACAAUAAACAUCGAAAACUGUGAAUUCGAUUAUUGUGCGGAAGCUGGUUAUAAUUAUUUAAAUAUUUAUUCAGUACAUAUGCUUUUCAAUUAAUUUACAAUAAGAUACUUAAUUUUAAUUGUAAUGUAAGUAGAAACGUAGGAGACAGUCAGGGCGUUUAUGGUUGAGAAGCAAAGUGUAACAAUGCUAACAACAUGUAACGCCCGGUAGGUAUCGUUUAAACAUUGCACAGAAGCACGCCUUGGUGCAUUAUACGUUCUUUCAAUUUCACAUUCCACUUGUAUUUUUUGCAGGUACCUCAGCUUCCGUUGGGUCACACAAUAGACGUGCGCCUAUGCUCAGUUUCGUGCGUUGUUCGAAGUUAUUGGACAAUGGAUGAAAGAGGUCGAGCCAUUCACACUUCAUCCGACAAAGAGACGUGCAGUGCUGCUAGCUGUGGGACAGAAACUGGUAGGCUGGACUUCCUGGCGAUAUAGGGACGAUUAAAUUUGAAUGCCCACGACUGAAUCAAUUGGGGAUGGUUCAUGCAAAAGCCCGGAAAUGCAGAAAAUGCAGCUUUCUGUUUUAAAUUCUGAUUGAAGUAUACCAAGCAUACUUGGCUGAUAUGAAGUGUCGUUUAAUUAUGGAAAAUGUAAUUAAAAUUCCUUGGCCAGAAGUUUGGAAUUAGCCCUGAAGGACUAAUAGAUUGCUGUGAUGUGCCGAAGAAGCAUGCUAUGAGUUGGAAGUCUGAGAUUUGUGGAGUAUCGAUAAAUUCUCCUGCUCCAACUUUUCUUGCUUGCACCACAGGCAUGGCUAAAGUACAGAAAUAUGCCAAUCAGACAUACCACAAGGUGCACUUUGGCUGGUCAUGACUAUUUCAGUCAACUCCCUUUAACCAAAUUUAGGAUAUUGCGAAUGCUGGGAAAACAAUAGAACACUAGACUGAGUUGAAAAACCAUAUAUUGUGCCUCGGACUAUAAGAGAAGUUGUAGAAACAAUGCUUUUCGUACUUUCGCAUGAUACAAACACUCUUCGCUUUAGACUGUAACUUGAAGGAAUGGAUCUAACGUGGUCUUCUUCAUUCCUAUUAAGUACUUUUAUUUUAAUUAUAUUAAGUUUUUUGCUUUUAGCUUUCAUUUCCAUUUUCAAUAUAAUUCAUAUAGCUUGUGUGUACUUGUAUACACUGUUGUUUCGAUCUCAUCAUCUUCUAAAAGUGGUAAAUGUCAUUGUAACAAUCAUUUAUGUCAAUAAACAGAUAUAGAAAUUAAUAAAAAUUAUACUUACUUAUCAAGAAAUCAUGGUUGUGUCACUUGAUUUUACCGUUUUUGACUGUCAUCGUACAAUCAAAUUGUGGUUAUUCCUCAAAGGUCUUUGUAAAUAUUGUUGCGUCUGGGAGUGGUGCAUGUGGC
This is a long non-coding RNA of Ceratina calcarata, 2391 nucleotides long. RefSeq lists it as uncharacterized. The transcript is spliced from 3 exons. The record is from RefSeq and is a predicted model, not a curated record. Lineage: Eukaryota; Metazoa; Arthropoda; Insecta; Hymenoptera; Apidae.